RNAcentral lists this ribosomal RNA (505 nucleotides) under uncultured archaeon. Its description in RNAcentral is "bacterial SSU rRNA". It matches the Rfam family "Archaeal small subunit ribosomal RNA", at positions 352 to 859 of the family's 1478-position model. The record is from RNAcentral.
UCAAUGCACUAACGUGCGAAGGGGUUACCUCGAGUGCUAUCUGAAGAAGGUGGCUUUUCCAUGGUCUAAAAAGCCUAGGGAAUAAGAGGGGGGCAAGACUGGUGUCAGCCGCCGCGGUAACACCAGCCCCUCGAGUGGUGGGGAUGAUUAUUUGGCCUAAAGCGUCCGUAGCCUGCCGGAUAAGUUUCCCGUUAAAUCCAAUGUCUCAAGCAUUGGACUGCGGGAAAUACUGUCUGGCUAGAGAGUGGGAAAGGUUAGCGGUAUUCUGGGGGUAGGGGCGAAAUCCUUUGAUCCCCGGAGGACCACCAGUGGCGAAGGCUGCUGACUAGAACACGUCUGACGGUCAGGGACGAAAGCUGGGGUAGCGAACCGGAUUAGAUACCCGGGUAGUCCCAGCCGUAAACGAUGCAUGCUAGGUGUUGGGUUGGCCACGAGCCACCCCAGUGCCGCAGGGAAGCCGUUAAGCAUGCCGCCUGGGAAGUACGAUCGCAAGGUUGAAACUUAA